This 7688-nucleotide ribosomal RNA is filed under the name Triticum aestivum (bread wheat). RNAcentral describes it as "partial small subunit ribosomal RNA". The record is from RNAcentral. Lineage: Eukaryota; Viridiplantae; Streptophyta; Magnoliopsida; Poales; Poaceae.
UUAACUAGGAUAAGAACGGAAACUCGUCUUCUUUAUGGGAUAUUUGUAUAUAGAAUAUCAUAGGUAUAUUUAAGACCUAGAGUCUAGGGGAAGGAGAUCAAACUAGAGAGACUUUAAGCGAAUCAACUGUGGGCCCUAGACUGUUUAACCAUAGUACUCGUAGCCAAAGAGCCGUUGCUGAAGGCUAAGGGUCAUCUUUUAGCUCUCCUCUCGGUUAAGGGUGGGAUUAGGGAGGGAAAAGACGCACCUACCACUACUCUAGCCGCCACCGGACUCCCCCGCCUCAGAGAAGAGGUUGUACCGCCGCCGCCGCCGCUAAACCGCCGCGUCCGCUGUUACUAAUAAGCCCAUGUCUGGUCAUCUCUCCUCACCAACGCACCCUUGGGAAGAGUGCGCCAUUUUAGGGUGCAGGUAGCGGCUAGGCACAUGGUAGCCGCAGCUCGAAGCUCCGCCGCCGUCCUAGCGCUCACGUCCCCGACCAACGGCAUGAAAGCCACCAUUUUAAGGGGAAGAGACGAGCGCUAGUUCCUCUACCCGUCCCGGUUCUUGUAUCUACUACGGCUAAACGUUCUCCACGAACGAGACGCGCUCCUUAAGCCGCAGAAUGUCGUCCUCUCACGGAACUACGCGUGACUCCAUCGGUUCGAGGUAGUUCUGCACGUCAGGUAGUCAAGGUUUGUUCCACUAUAGAGAGACGUUCAUCCAUGUCACCUUUUUCGACACAAUCUAGAGUCAUUCGUUAAUAGUCGUUAAUCAAGUCGCAAGUUCUGUGACCACGGAGGGUGAUUAGUCCCCGUUUGAUAACUAUAGGGAAGAUCAAGAUGUGUCAACCACUUUAGAGGAUGUGACGUACCUCGUUGAUGAGUAAAUGUCGGACUGUCUUGACUUGUUAAUGCCUUUGUCGAUCUCCUUCUCUUCCUUUUCUGAUCCAACCGACUCCUUAACGUGAACGUUUUAAACUGUGGAUAAGCGUGAUUGUCUGGGUUACAAGGUGGACCUAAACGAGUUAGUUUUUCUUACCUACGGUGAUCAGUUCACCCGUGAGGAGAUAGGGUUUCUCUAGGUCCAGUGUGGGGACGUAAAGUUGUCAAAGUCUUGUCCCUCUCCGUUGAUACCGUUCCUAUAAUGUCUUGUAUACUCGUCCUGUACGUCCAGGUUAAGUACUUCCGAUACUGUUUUCCAGGAUUUGACCUUAAAGGAUUUAAGAAACCUCUCCUAGGACACCCUACCAACUCUGUUACAUUGUUUAUGAAAGUUUACAGACCACGAGGACUUCUUAUGUUUCAUAGGAAUCGUGUCUACAUAUAUUCACCUCUACGACUAUAAACCAAUUCUUCCGGACCAGACGAAUUUUUCGUAAACUGUACCUUUCUUAAACCGUUUCUUUAACACUUCUCUAAGAGAGUUGUCCCGUGAAUACUAGACUGUCUUUUCAAGUUAUUAGACUUUGUUUUGUUGUUGUGACAUAGACUGAUAUGGUACGUCAAACUCCUGGAUUACCGACUAUACGUUCUACUUUUAGGUCUUAAUUUACUUGAGACCAAACAGUCCACAAUACACUUGCCGUACUCUCUCCCGUAAUUCAUAGUCUAUUCUGAUGACUCUGGGGUUUGAUAGUGACUACGGAUAACGAACCGUUCCCUGUAACUUGGAACAGUGGGUGGACACAGACAAUUAGUUUUUUUCCGUAAACACGGAAUAUUGUCGAUGAUAGUCUUCUUGUGUUCACGGUCGAAUAGAUUUGUCGAUGUGUGAGGACACAAUGGAGUCCGAGGUUGACCGUGAUUUAGACGUCUGUUACAGUUGUUAUGACGAGUCUCCUAUUCUUUUCGACCACUUACGACCUCUACACCGCUGUUUACCCAUGUACCCGUAUUUACGUGAGAAUAAGGAUUACACGUAGAGUACGUUGUUCUCCACCUUCUAUGACCGGGUGAUCUUGUUCUUCUCGGUGUAGGUCUUGUUAGUCUUUUAUAUCUCCUCGUUGUACUUGUUCGUUACAAAUAGAGACGAAUACGGGACCCAGUAGUCAGUUGCCACGUUUGGGGUUGUUAUUAAUAUAGACAAUUACCAUUCUCUCGACAUCGAGAUGAUCUGAAACCUUCAAGGAGGAGAAAGUACUUACUUUUCAAACGUUAAUUUAGUUUGACAGUAUACGACGGGUCUUUUGGAUCUCGUUAAAGACAACGCCCACCUCCAUGUGAUUAUAGACGUCGACAUCAUGGUUUAACGGGAAAGGUCUAACGAUUUGAUCCUUACGUUGUGAGAAAGUCUCAAGACCUAAAUGGAUCGGUACUGUAAUAAGAACCAAUACUGACCAAGUGGGAACAGUCGGGUCAGUGAAAACUACAAGGAUCCGUAGUCAAGUCAAAAUGUCACCUUCCUGUCUGAUUUCAGUGUCGUCGAUAGAAGUUAUGAUUACUUCUUCACUUUCUUUACGUCCGCUUCUUUGAGGGUUUAUACAACCUGUUUCCUCACGUUCCUAAAGAAUAUGUUAACUUGUCGUAAUAUUACCUUCGAGGACGGUUAGUGACGUAAGGUCGACGUCAGGUUGUUAACAACCUUCUUAUGUUCCUACAUAAGGUCCUCGGAUGUUUCAAUGGAGGAUCAUCUCGAAACCUGGUGUGUUAAGGAAACUACGGUCCUCACCUUGGGGGAGUGAGGUCUGGAAUAUCUCACGGGGUAGUGGUCUUCCUGCUUUACCUUUUUGUCUAAGUCGUAAACAACCUGUUGUUUAAUUAGUCUGGAUCGGUCUCGGGAAUACGACGGGGACACGAAGAUCACUUCUUUUUCCUGUCGUGAUACUCUGACACGUGUCUAAAGUCUUUUAACUUAAGUCAGUGUUAGUUUUUAUUUAAGGGUUAAGGCCGCUAACUCCUAAAUAACCUACUUGACGUACCUCGAUUUCAUAAGAGAUUUAACCUAGAUUCCAGACCAAUGGUGGUUUAGUCUUACUUAAGAUUUCUGCAUGUGUUUUGACGAAAAGCUUGUAAGAACCCAGUGAUACUUAUAAACCAGUACGGAAAACCGAAUAGGUUGCGUGGACCGUGAAAAGUUCGAGAGUACUUAAAAGAGAAACGUGUGAUGUUAUCUUUCAAACACAAUCACAAGAAACUACUGUAUGAGUAAAAAUCAUUUUGUAAUCUCCUCGUACACCUAGUAAAUCGUGUUCACGAGUUUUAAGAGUCUCUUUUACUUGAUAUGCGAUUCAACAGGUUUACACACAAACGACAACUAUUUCACGUCAUAAACCCUGUACACCAAAGACCUCUUCCACAACGAUGUCUCGGACUUUUCUAGUGACGAUAUAGAGUCACCGAUGAGGAUGACUACGUUGAUUCGACUCCUCAAAGAACCCGAACCGUCCCAUGAUAUCUUCCAAAUAGUUCUUGAUACCGUAAUAAACGUUUGGUGACGUGUUGUCAGACUUCUUCCCUGUUAAGGUCACCUGCCGUCUCGUUCUAGACCGAAAAUUUUGUGAGGUCGUCCGGGAAUAGAGACGUGGUCAAAAUCGGGAUGGUCUAAAGUUCGUUGGAAAAGAAGACCUCUGACUACGAAGACCAGUACCGUAACCACGACAAGAAUACGUCGUUCCUGCCGGGGAACGAAUAAUGUCGAGACGUGAAACAGGUUCUUUACGCCGUGAGAGGUGGAUACUCUUUCUUCGAGAACGAUAAGACCUUCGAAAUUUCUUUACCUCUGUGAUGGACAAUCCCUUGUCACAGUAAUAGUUCUGACUGGUUGUCAGAAACUUUAAGUAAUAACUAGUUUCUUAAUGUCUUCCUCACGUUGUGUUUAACUACUACUUUGACGACCUUAAAUUAAAGUGUUAGGUUAUGUUCUUCCCCUCAUGAUUAUCUCACCGUCUACGGGACAGAGCUUACACCGGAUUUACAUACCGAUAGAGGAGACAGUGAGGGAAUACCCGACUUCUAGGCUAUUGUUCGAUGUCUUUACUAGGACACUGUUUUCGAAACGUUCUCUUUAAUGACGACGUCUUUCGACUCUGACAGUGUCUAAUGUGUAACGUACGAUCAUAAUAGUCUAUAUUUCCUUUCUAUGAUCACCCGUUACUGUUUUUGAACGUUCUUGUUGAGUAACGACGUAACGUAUCAAGAGGUCAUCCUCCGGUGAGACCGUACUCUCGAUGAAUAGUUUCCUAUUUUCCGUAUAAGAUAACCGGACCGUACUUUGUUGUACAUCUCUGAAUGUAACGUAGAACGGGUCAAACGGUCUCUCGUUUCGUACUUUUAACGGGAGUUGGACCUGAUAAUCUGGGGGAGGGUCACCGACUGUACCGUACCGUUGUAUAAAGAUACCUAAAGUAACUUCCAGAGGGAUUAAGAGUUCCGUUUCUCCAGUAAAAUCACCACCAACUAUCUAAGUGUUUUAUGAGGGUGAAGAACCGGGAGAGUGUAGGAAUAUGACAAGUAUCACACCGAGUCCAAAAACAUCUAGUAUAGUAGUCCAACGUACCUGGAGGGUUCGAUUAGUAAAGCCUAUCUCUGUCCUAUAAGUGGUCAGUUAACACCUCUCUGUAGAAACGUCGUGAAUCUCACCUCAACUCUAUGUUAAGACGUAUAGUGGGAGUUUGUCUACCCGUUUGUCUCUCUCAGUUGGUUACAAAUCUUUGUAUAGACUCUACGUACAGGUGAAACCUUGGUUUCUUUACCGAUAGAACCGACGGGGAACGACUUAUAACCAUGUUAUGUUGAAUGGUAUGUCGAGAUUUUUACAGUGGCAAGGUCCGAAAUAUACCUAAAGGGGGAGGAAAUUAAAGACUUAACCGGUAGGGACCAGGUCUUCUGAACCUUCGAGUCCUUAAAAAUAGCCGAUUUGUUGUGUACAAUCUAGUUGAGUUCCGUUUAAAUAGGGUUCGAGUUUUAUCCUACUUCUCCAUACGUCUAAAUUUUUCUUCACUCUCUGUUAAAGUUGGACCUCUGGAUCAUAUGAACUUUUACCGAGGUAUGGCUGAUCGUCGUAAACCAAAAGCUCCACGGAAUUUUGAUGUCUUGUUUAUAAUACCAGGAAAGUCACAUCAAGUUUCUUAACCAUUGAGACGAAUGUUUGAGGUUAAAGGCCGUGUACAGUUCUAUGUGGGUCAGAAAGUACAGUCAGUCAACUUCUUCGUAAACCCCUUCUUUAGAUAGGGAUCAGGUCUAGACGGUUACCAGUUACUCCUACCAAGUUAGUUUUGACUUGGCCGAUACCACGAACUUCACUCUGUUCAUGGUUCUGUGUUGGACGUACAACAAGUUACCGAUUAAGUCACCCUUUUGUACCGUGGGCUUCUACGAUGGACCCUUCUACGACUUAAGUAUUUCGUAUGUAAAGGUCGUAAGAAAGCAAGCUGUUGAGUUCGUACCUCUAGUCAGAGUAUUAGCGGCACUCCUGUGCAGCUCAGAGUCUGUCCCCGUUACAGUCCGUAGUCGACAAGACUUGGGUUUGGUUCACAGUAGAAGUCAAUUGCUGGAGGUAGCUCGACCAUAGCGAAGCUCGGGGUAGCCUGCCAGCGGUAGCUCGUCGAGUUCAAUGAAUGCGACAGUUGGCAGCCUACGUAGAUGACAAAAUGAAAAGUGGAAUACGACAGCGAUGUCACUUGACAUUGAAAGAGCGGAUAUUCACUCGGCCCGACACCGACUCAUCCAUCGCACUUAACUAGGAUAAAAACGGAAACUCGUCUUCUUUAUGGGAUAUUUGUAUAUAGAAUAUCAUAGGUAUAUUUAAGACCUAGAGUCUGGGGGAAGGAGAUCAAGCUAGAGAGACUUUAAGCGAAUCAACUGUGGGCCCUAGACUGUCUAGAGGUGAGAGAGCGGCAGCGGCAGCCUACGGAGCUUAUUCGUCGAGGGGGAAACCCUCGGCGUCGGGGGUUAGCUUCGUCGUCGUCGUCGUCGAGGUAAGGCUCGACGCUGGCCGUUAGCUUCGUUAGUUCGCCGAGGUGAGGCUCGGCGUCAGGCGUUAGUUUCGUCGAAGGAAAAAAUCACCGAUUAGCCCUUAGUUUCGUCAGCAAAGGCCUAAUGUUAGUCUUUGUCCGGGAGAAAGCCUAAGUCAGAGCCGCCUUUGGAUCGUCGAUAUAUAGUCAAACUUCUCCUCUGCUAGUCGAGAGAAUGGUCCGUUUGCCGACGGUCUUGCCGGAGCCGUUUAGGAGGGAGCUGUACUACCUCCUGUUACUCCAACUAUCCGAGUCGUUCAACGGACUACUGCAAAACGAGUUGUAACACCUCGCUGAACUAUAGCGACUACGACGUGCUUGGUGGUAGGAGAGCUGUGCAACCUUUGUCUAGGGACGCUAUGAGAGUUUCCAACAAUAGCACCGACCUAGAAAACUCGGGUUCGUACUUUCCUCCUUCUAUUGGAGUCUACUAUAUCAAGCCCGGUUGUGGUGGCACGACCUUCGACGAUCCACGUAUGACCCUUCCUCCCGACCCUCAGAUAGGUGGUAAGUGGACAACACGUACGUUAAGAUGAACCCUCUACUCAGACAAAAGUAACCGGUCUGACAACGGUUGUGGUAUCGUUGUGUUUUCCAGCGAAGUCGGCUCAAAUGUUAGUACUGCUUCCACGCGUCUUUAACAAGACAACUACUUGACGAGUGAAUACCCUCCGUCAAGUACAGUAAGAAACCAAGCACAGGUUUGUGUAAACCACCAGAACGUGCGGAGUGCGAUCUCUUAAACUCCAACCCACUUAGUCUGAAGGGGUUUUAAAAGUCAUAAACGUUAGUUGACCUCAAGGAGGCAGAGGUUGUCACACUACGCCCCUUAUACAGAAACGACCUUCACCUUGUGCUUGUCGAGGCACUUAAUGACUAAAAAACAUCGUCAUAAUUCUCCCAACUAGACUUCACACAUGGUUUCGAGUGUUAUGACUUUAAAUUACGAAAAUACAGAGGCCUUCUGGGGAAGACAGACCCGAUACAGGGUGACGAAGUCUGACACUGGUAGUAAUUAUGACCAGAAAGCGCCGUGUUCUACGAGUUCAAUUCGCUCAACGACCCAUUCUGCCGGUAUUCGAAGGAGGUAAACUUGAAGUUUACACUUUUCUAAACCCACUUUGGUCUUCCAGCUUUCGUUAACGAUGGCCACAAGGUGUUUGAUUCCGAACACUUAAACUAGUUGUAAAGACUUCUUACACUAGACUGAACCUGCUACAAGUAUGAGGUUCCACGUGGGCGGGAAUUCCUUGAUACGUAGUACCAUUUUAGAACAUGGCUAAAAGUAAAGAGUAAAAAUAAGGUGGAGUGCAACUUAUACGUUUCGCUCGAGAGAGAAAAGCUUCAAGUCUGUGGCCAAACCUUAAGAACUGGACUAACUUACGUCCACUCCCUAGUAAACACACUUUACUGUUGGCCCCUCCACUCCUUCUCCAAAUGUAUAUCGCUCUUCUUCCUGUUUCCUGAUCUUACCCUUGGUAGAAGGGGACUAAAGUUCGUGGUGUUAGACCGACUCCAGUCCUAGAUACCCAAAGUCCGUCUUCUGUUUAAGUACUCCAUACGGUCUUUACAGCACCUCCGUCGCCACUUGGACCUCCGGUACUUGGAUAUAUCUUUAGGUCCCACACUAUUCACGUUCGUGUGCGAAGGUCCAGUCACCUGUACCUGCCUCUACAAUAACUAGUCUCUGUUUUAGUUGUUACCCUACAGCAGUGUACGGUCCUAAGUGAAGGGCUCGACUCCCGUUCAAAAAAAG